CCUACGGGAGGCAGCAGUGGGGAAUAUUGGGCAAUGGGCGCAAGCCUGACCCAGCAACGCCGCGUGAGGGAAGAAGGCUCUCGGGUUGUAAACUUCUUUUAUCAGGGACGCAGCAAGUGACGGUACCUGAUGAAUAAGCCACGGCUAACUACGUGCAAGCCGCCGCGGUAAUACGGAGGUGGCGAGCGUUAUCCGGAUUUACUGGGUGUAAGGGGCGUGUAGGCGGGAAGGCAAGUCAGAUGGGAAAACCAUGGGCUUAACCCGUGGCCUGCAUUUGAAACUGUUUGUCUUGAGUACUGGAGAGGCAGACGGAAUGCGUAGUGUAGCGGUGAAAUGCGUAGAUAUCAGGAGGAACACCAGUGGCGAAGGCGGUCUGCUGGACAGCAACUGACGCUGAGGCGCGAAAGCGUGGGGAGCAAACAGGAUUAGAUACCCUGGUAGUC
Molecule: ribosomal RNA, 443 nt
Filed under: uncultured bacterium
Lineage: Bacteria
Description: partial 16S ribosomal RNA
Rfam family: Bacterial small subunit ribosomal RNA
Source: RNAcentral